AGUAUCAACGCUGGCGGCGCGCCUAACACAUGCAAGUCGAACGAGAAAGUGGAGCAAUCCAUGAGUACAGUGGCGUACGGGUGAGUAACACGUGGGUAAUCUACCUCUUAGUGGGGAAUAACUUUGGGAAACCGAAGCUAAUACCGCAUAAGCUCGAGAGAGGAAAGCAGCAAUGCGCUGAGAGAGGAGCCCGCGGCCGAUUAGCUAGUUGGCAGGGUAAAAGCCUACCAAGGCAUAGAUCGGUAGCCGGCCUGAGAGGGCACACGGCCACACUGGCACUGAAACACGGGCCAGACUCCUACGGGAGGCAGCAGUGGGGAAUCUUGCACAAUGGGGGAAACCCUGAUGCAGCGACGCCGCGUGAGCGAUGAAGCCCUUCGGGGUGUAAAGCUCUUUCGGCAGGGAAGAUGGUGACGGUACCUGCAGAAGCAGCUGCGGCUAACUACGUGCCAGCAGCCGCGGUAAUACGUAGGCAGCGGGCGUUGUUCGGAGUUACUGGGCGUAAAGGGUGUGUAGGCGGUUGUUUAAGUUUGGUGUGAAAUCUCCCGGCUCAACUGGGAGGGUGCGCCGAAUACUGAGCGACUAGAGUGCGGGAGAGGAAAGUGGAAUUCCUGGUGUAGCGGUGAAAUGCGUAGAUAUCAGGAGGAACACCGGUGGUGUAGACGGCUUUCUGGACCGUAACUGACGCUGAGACACGAAAGCGUGGGUAGCAAACAGGAUUAGAUACCCUGGUAGUCCACGCCCUAAACGAUGCAUAUUUGGUGUGGGCAGUUCAUUCUGUCCGUGCCGGAGCUAACGCGUUAAAUAUGCCGCCUGGGGAGUACAGUCGCAAGGCUGAA
This 839-nucleotide ribosomal RNA is filed under the name uncultured soil bacterium. Its description in RNAcentral is "bacterial SSU rRNA". It matches the Rfam family "Bacterial small subunit ribosomal RNA", at positions 26 to 898 of the family's 1533-position model. The record is from RNAcentral.